GUCCUAGCCCUAAACGAUCAGGACUUGGGGUGCAUCCCGACGGGGUGCGUCCCGUAGCUAACGCGUUAAGUCCUGCGCCUGGGGAGUACGGUCGCAAGACUGAAACUCAAAGGAAUUGACGGGGGCCCGCACAAGCGGUGGAACAUGUGGUUCAAUUCGACGCAACGCGAAGAACCUUACCUGGGCUUGAACUGCUACUGACCAGCGGUGGAAACAUCGCCUUCUCGCAAGAGACAGUAGUAGAGGUGCUGCAUGGCUGUCGU
RNAcentral lists this ribosomal RNA (263 nucleotides) under uncultured bacterium. RNAcentral's name for it is "partial 16S ribosomal RNA". It matches the Rfam family "Bacterial small subunit ribosomal RNA", at positions 793 to 1055 of the family's 1533-position model. The record is from RNAcentral.